Molecule: long non-coding RNA, 830 nt
Filed under: Calidris pygmaea (Spoon-billed sandpiper)
Lineage: Eukaryota; Metazoa; Chordata; Aves; Charadriiformes; Scolopacidae
Description: lncRNA (ENSCPGG00000003642.1)
Source: RNAcentral
UGUGUCCAGAGAUUUCAUUCCCUUUAGACCUCUUUCAUCUCUUCAUUCAAAUCCUAAUGCCGAGAUUGACCCUGUAGGCUAUUAGUUGCCUUCAGCUACCAUUCUUCCUGUUUUAAAAGCAAGGCCGAUAGGAACAUUUGAAAAAAGGACUCUUCAGACCUGGAAAAUUUUGUCAUGAGAAGGUAACAGCAACCUUCCCUCCAGUUAAAAUAGAGGAAACUGGCUGGAGAGAGCUCAGAUACAGGGCUGAAAACAAAGACAUCCAAACCUUGAGCCAUUUAGAAGAGGAAGAAACCAAAAUCUAUGCCAGAGGUUUGACUGCUGGGUUUACUCAUGGCUUCAGGUCAGUUUCGCGGGGCUUGGUCUGUUGGGAGGAUUUUCUGAGAAGCAUCUGAAGAGCUGAUAGCUGGAUAGCUUCACCACUGACCCCCCGACCCGAGUGAGGUUUGGCACUCGCAGUAUUCCUGGAAUGACACAGGGGCUCCGGCUGGAGUCAGGCCAGGACAUUAGAUGAAACUGCUUUUGUGGCACUUCUGCUUUUGAUGACUAGAGGACAGAUUUCCCGCUGUAACUCUCUGCAGCGUUUGACUCUAUUGACCAUGAACCCCUGCUGGCCCCUACUGAGAAGGUGGGUUGCAGUCUGGUGGGAAUGAUUUGGUGGGACAUACCCAGUUAGUAGAGAUGUAAAUAUACAGCCAUACAGCUAAUGUAGGUUGGUUGUGGUGCUGUCUCAAAGGACCUAGCUUUUCUCUUUUCUGUUGACCCAGUUGAGCACAAAGUCAUAGAAUCAUAGAAUCAUAGAAUCUUCUAGGUUGGAAGGGACCUUAAAG